ACAUGAAGGGCAGCUGCGUGCAGCUUCAGACCACAGACACUGCUGUCAGUCUGAAGACUCUGAAUGAUUUCCUCAGGGAAGUCUCAGUUCCAGCCUUAGUGCAGUGUACUCCGAGCAGUACUCAGUGCUCUGUUUUGAGGAUUACUUACAGACUACACAGUGCUGUGACCUAGACGUUCCAAGAAUAAGAGCAUGCAGUUGAGAUCUUGUUAUUUUCAAGGUUCCCAAAGGACCUAUUAACAGCAGACUUUUAUGGAACGUGGUUAAUGGUUAAACUGGUGAAAAUAACUGCACAAGUUAUACGGUGGACAUACUCCCUGACUGGUACAACUCUGGCAACACUGUUCACCUUGGAGUUUCUGGUGCUUCAUCAGCACAACAUCCCCAGCAGGUCCUGUGCAAACAUAGAUUUCUCAUCCAGGGAUCAUGAAGAGCUGCACUGAUUUGUUCCAGAGCAACAUUUCUCCACAUUUCUAACCAUCUUGAGAUAAGCAGUCAGGAGACUGCAGAUCAAGGCUGGUGGAGCAGGGCAAGGCAUUCCUAUUCCCAUAGACAUAAUGGUGAAAGUUCAGCAGUUACCAUAGUGUUUGUGACCUAAUCACCUCUCUUAAUGUUCAACUGGAAGUGAUAAUAAAGACAGAGUUCAAAACCCAACUGAGAUGAAGGGAUCCUUGGAUAUUUGUCACACGAGAACAAAAGGAAGUCCCUUGUUCUGAGGUGUACAGCAAAAUGCAUGAGACGAGUUAAAGUGCAUCAGGUGAAGCUGGACUGAACAGGAAUCAAGGAUCACAGAGAAAACGUGCUUGAGCCAAACUCAGCUGAAGCCUAGAUCAAUCCAAAUAACUUCUUUCAAACAUGGCUUUCAAGAUAAGAAGAGAAAUAUGGUAUUGAUUUGCCUAGUAAAAGGGACACCCUCAAACACGCGGAAUCCAUCUCUGCUUGUCACUCAGUGCUGCUCUGCCUUUUGGACAAGGCUGCUUGUAUGUGUGAAGUUAUUCAGCAAAAACAUAUUGCCAAGCCUGAAGAUUAGAGCCAGCUUCAGAAAGCCAUUUAACAAAGAGCUGGAAAGAAGCAGCAUCUCUACAUGGACUUAUCAGGAAGCUUAUGCAUCAGAUACUCAAUGCAAGUGCUAAGCAAGGAGGCAGUGUUGACUGAACAGCCACAGUAAGCACUGUAGGGAAAAACCUGCAGCUGAGGCUGGAUACUUUGUUCUGGUAUCUGAGUUCAAGGAGUGGAUACACUGAAAGAACAUCAGAGAAAAUUACUCAGGUUUCCAGCUGAAAUAUUGCUCAGAAGAUGGAAUGUCACUACAAAUCCUGGUCUCUAAUCAGCGCUCUUUUUUCUCUCUCACUUGAAUAAUUUAGUUACUAAGAAAUUAAGUUUAAUUUAACAUGCAGUUUGCCUAAAAUCCUCCUUGCUUUAUUUUCUUUCUUAAGAUAGAUAUGUGCAGAGGCUGAGGGCAUUGGGUUGCAUAUCCAAGUAUAAUAUGAGGUACCCUAAUCAAACUUACUGAUAUGAUGAUCCGUGCUAGUAACUGACAUUUCAAACUUUCAGAACAUCUUAAAACUUUCUCUGCUAUCUGCAGUUUCCUGCAGAAAGAAAAAGCCAAGGGUUCCAACUCACCAUUAGGUGGUGCCCCUGUCAUUCAUUUAAAAAAUAAAAAAUAAUUAUAAAAACUGCAAUAGAAUCUACUAUCCUUAUCUUCAUUGUGCAUGCCUGCUGAGGGUAAAGCUGUGCUAUUUGAGUGGAAUGAGGGGACAAAACAAGUGUCAUUUCCUUUUUAGGAAGUGAGAUCCCAUCAUGUGCAGACUUGAGGAAGCCAGCAUUGCAAAUUGGUGCUUUCUCCACUUAGCACUGGAGCUGUGAGAAUGGGCAGCAUUUGUGUCCCUUGAACCUUCUUGGCCAGCAGGUCCGGGGGCUUUUGCACUGGUUUUGUGGAGGGAUCUGGGCAGGGAGAGGGAGCACCUAGUCUUUGUGUGACUGCUCAGAGCACUGCUGUAGGUUGUGUGAGUUGUGGUAGUCUGAGCAUCAAAAAGACCAAAUGAGCAUGGCUUGCAUCCAGUCACUGCAGCAAAAUGCUGAGAUACAGUGCUCAAAUAAGUCAUACUGGAAAUGCAUCGUUUCAGUCCUCUCAAGCUCCGGUAAAGCUGAUGUUUGCAAAUAUCUGUGAGGGCAAGGUGGAAGAUUUACCCUCUCUGAGAUGUCAUUACUUUUAUGAUUGGACCUGACCCUGACCUGUAGAUUGACUUCUGCUCCUGACCACAGACCUGCCUCACCAUCUCAGACUUAUCUGAUGAUCUGGACUCUCUGCUGACACUGGCUGCCAUGUCUGUUCUGUCUUGCUGCCUUGCCUUGUGUGGGUCCUGAUGGAUCCCUGGUGGACUGGGACUCUUGGUGCCAGCUGUGUCAUCACACGCAGCUCUGUCACUGGGAAAGCAGCUGGCCUUUGCUUCCAUUCACACUUGCCACUCUUCCAAUCCAUUUUGUGUUGUCUCUAAAAUAUGCUUGCUUUGUACUCCACUGCUGAUAUUCUCUCUAGCUCCUAAGUCUGCAAGGUUAUCUUUAAACAAGCUCCUCUUCACUUCUAGAAAUUAAAUUUGAUGUUUUGAGGUGACACUUUCUCCUUUUAUUUGGAAGAUACUUGGUGAUCCAAAUGCAGCUUUUUGCCUCAGAAAGGUUGCUGUGCCAUGCAACAGUGAGCAGCUGACUGUGCCUCAGUAGCCCUCUAAGACUGCUUCUUUGUUCCUUGACUGUUGUGGAAAGAAUUCCAAGAAAUGUGGUUUGCACCUGCUUCC
This is a long non-coding RNA of Gallus gallus (chicken), 2795 nucleotides long. RefSeq lists it as uncharacterized. The record is from RefSeq and is a predicted model, not a curated record. The transcript has 8 exons. NCBI's taxonomy places the organism in Eukaryota, Metazoa, Chordata, Aves, Galliformes, Phasianidae.